AACGAACGCUGGCGGCAGGCCUAACACAUGCAAGUCGAACGAUAAGCCACCUUCGGGUGGUGGACAGUGGCAGACGGGUGAGUAACGCGUGGGAACGUGCCUUUCGGUUCGGAAUAACCCAGGGAAACUUGGGCUAAUACCGGAUAUCCCUACGGGGGAAAGGAUUUAUCGCCCCUCGGACGGGCCCGGCGUCCGAUUAGCUAGUUGGUGAGGUAAUGGCUCACCAAGGCGACGAUCGGUAGCUGGUCUGAGAGGACGACCAGCCACACUGGAACUGAGACA
RNAcentral lists this ribosomal RNA (282 nucleotides) under uncultured bacterium. Its description in RNAcentral is "partial 16S ribosomal RNA". It matches the Rfam family "Bacterial small subunit ribosomal RNA", at positions 29 to 326 of the family's 1533-position model. The record is from RNAcentral.